UGACCAGACUCCUACGGGAGGCAGCAGUGAGGAAUAUUGGUCAAUGGGCGGGAGCCUGAACCAGCCAAGUCGCGUGAGGGACGACGGUCCUAUGGAUUGUAAACCUCUUUUGUCGGGGAACAAAGGCGCCCACGGGUGGGCGGAUGAGUGUACCCGAAGAAAAAGCAUCGGCUAACUCCGUGCCAGCAGCCGCGGUAAUACGGAGGAUGCGAGCGUUAUCCGGAUUUAUUGGGUUUAAAGGGUGCGUAGGCGGACGCUUAAGUCAGCGGUAAAAUUGCGGGGCUCAACCUCGUCGAGCCGUUGAAACUGGGUGCCUUGAGUGGGCGAGAAGUACGCGGAAUGCGUGGUGUAGCGGUGAAAUGCAUAGAUAUCACGCAGAACUCCGAUUGCGAAGGCAGCAUACCGGCGCCCGACUGACGCUGAGGCACGAAAGCGUGGGUAUCGAACAGGAUUAGAUACCCCAGUACGG
Molecule: ribosomal RNA, 469 nt
Filed under: uncultured bacterium
Lineage: Bacteria
Description: bacterial SSU rRNA
Rfam family: Bacterial small subunit ribosomal RNA
Source: RNAcentral